This 253-nucleotide ribosomal RNA is filed under the name uncultured bacterium. Its description in RNAcentral is "partial 16S ribosomal RNA". It matches the Rfam family "Bacterial small subunit ribosomal RNA", at positions 524 to 776 of the family's 1533-position model. The record is from RNAcentral.
GACAGAGGUGCCAAGCGUUAGGCGGAAUCACUGGGCUUAAAGCGUGUGUAGGCGGACUUCUAAGUACCUUGUGAAAUCCCACGGCUCAACCGUGGAACUGCUCGGUAUACUGGUUGUCUUGAGCCACUUAGGGGCUACCGGAACAAACGGUGGAGCGGUGAAAUGCGUAGAUAUCGUUUGGAACGCCAAUGGUGAAAACAGGUAACUGGGAGUGUGCCGACGCUGAGACACGAAAGCCAGGGGAGCGAACGGU